This 1990-nucleotide ribosomal RNA is filed under the name Salmonella enterica. RNAcentral describes it as "partial 23S ribosomal RNA". It matches the Rfam family "Bacterial large subunit ribosomal RNA", at positions 967 to 2925 of the family's 2925-position model. Lineage: Bacteria; Pseudomonadati; Pseudomonadota; Gammaproteobacteria; Enterobacterales; Enterobacteriaceae. The record is from RNAcentral.
GAAUGUUAUCACGGGAGACACACGGCGGGUGCUAACGUCCGUCGUGAAGAGGGAAACAACCCAGACCGCCAGCUAAGGUCCCAAAGUCAUGGUUAAGUGGGAAACGAUGUGGGAAGGCCCAGACAGCCAGGAUGUUGGCUUAGAAGCAGCCAUCAUUUAAAGAAAGCGUAAUAGCUCACUGGUCGAGUCGGCCUGCGCGGAAGAUGUAACGGGGCUAAACCAUGCACCGAAGCUGCGGCAGCGACGCUUAUGCGUUGUUGGGUAGGGGAGCGUUCUGUAAGCCUGUGAAGGUGUGUCGUGAGGCAUGCUGGAGGUAUCAGAAGUGCGAAUGCUGACAUAAGUAACGAUAAAGCGGGUGAAAAGCCCGCUCGCCGGAAGACCAAGGGUUCCUGUCCAACGUUAAUCGGGGCAGGGUGAGUCGACCCCUAAGGCGAGGCCGAAAGGCGUAGUCGAUGGGAAACGGGUUAAUAUUCCCGUACUUGGUGUUACUGCGAAGGGGGGACGGAGAAGGCUAUGUUGGCCGGGCGACGGUUGUCCCGGUUUAAGCGUGUAGGUGUGUGUUCCAGGUAAAUCCGGUUCACUUUAACACUGAGGCGUGAUGACGAGGCACUACGGUGCUGAAGUAACAAAUGCCCUGCUUCCAGGAAAAGCCUCUAAGCAUCAGGUAACAUCAAAUCGUACCCCAAACCGACACAGGUGGUCAGGUAGAGAAUACCAAGGCGCUUGAGAGAACUCGGGUGAAGGAACUAGGCAAAAUGGUGCCGUAACUUCGGGAGAAGGCACGCUGACACGUAGGUGAAGUGAUUUACUCACGGAGCUGAAGUCAGUCGAAGAUACCAGCUGGCUGCAACUGUUUAUUAAAAACACAGCACUGUGCAAACACGAAAGUGGACGUAUACGGUGUGACGCCUGCCCGGUGCCGGAAGGUUAAUUGAUGGGGUCAGCGCAAGCGAAGCUCCUGAUCGAAGCCCCGGUAAACGGCGGCCGUAACUAUAACGGUCCUAAGGUAGCGAAAUUCCUUGUCGGGUAAGUUCCGACCUGCACGAAUGGCGUAAUGAUGGCCAGGCUGUCUCCACCCGAGACUCAGUGAAAUUGAACUCGCUGUGAAGAUGCAGUGUACCCGCGGCAAGACGGAAAGACCCCGUGAACCUUUACUAUAGCUUGACACUGAACAUUGAGCCUUGAUGUGUAGGAUAGGUGGGAGGCUUUGAAGUGUGGACGCCAGUCUGCAUGGAGCCGACCUUGAAAUACCACCCUUUAAUGUUUGAUGUUCUAACGUGGACCCGUUACCCGGGUUGCGGACAGUGUCUGGUGGGUAGUUUGACUGGGGCGGUCUCCUCCUAAAGAGUAACGGAGGAGCACGAAGGUUGGCUAAUCCUGGUCGGACAUCAGGAGGUUAGUGCAAUGGCAUAAGCCAGCUUGACUGCGAGCGUGACGGCGCGAGCAGGUGCGAAAGCAGGUCAUAGUGAUCCGGUGGUUCUGAAUGGAAGGGCCAUCGCUCAACGGAUAAAAGGUACUCCGGGGAUAACAGGCUGAUACCGCCCAAGAGUUCAUAUCGACGGCGGUGUUUGGCACCUCGAUGUCGGCUCAUCACAUCCUGGGGCUGAAGUAGGUCCCAAGGGUAUGGCUGUUCGCCAUUUAAAGUGGUACGCGAGCUGGGUUUAGAACGUCGUGAGACAGUUCGGUCCCUAUCUGCCGUGGGCGCUGGAGAACUGAGGGGGGCUGCUCCUAGUACGAGAGGACCGGAGUGGACGCAUCACUGGUGUUCGGGUUGUCAUGCCAAUGGCACUGCCCGGUAGCUAAAUGCGGAAGAGAUAAGUGCUGAAAGCAUCUAAGCACGAAACUUGCCCCGAGAUGAGUUCUCCCUGAGACUUUAGGUCUCCUGAAGGAACGUUGAAGACGACGACGUUGAUAGGCCGGGUGUGUAAGCGCAGCGAUGCGUUGAGCUAACCGGUACUAAUGAACCGUGAGGCUUAACCUUACAACGCCG